Molecule: long non-coding RNA, 734 nt
Organism: Musa acuminata AAA Group (dessert banana)
Lineage: Eukaryota; Viridiplantae; Streptophyta; Magnoliopsida; Zingiberales; Musaceae
Exons: 2
Source: RefSeq, a predicted model, not a curated record
GGGAAGCAUUCAAUUCUAAUUCCUUUCUGGAAAUUUUAUUCUUUUGGUGAAAGAAACGAGUUCUUUGCACACACUAGUUUGCUUUGCCGUAUGACAAUUUUUCUUACAUAUGAAAAAUAUGCUUUGGUUUCUUUCUUCAACCAUAAGUUAUUGACAUAUUCUCUGUUACAAAAUUUGGGGAAAACAUGAGCAUCUUAUUGGACUUCCAUCAACUUUUUCAUUUUUCAUUUGGUACUUAUUGUUGUUUAUUUGAGCAGGUCCGCCAAAGUCAUAGAAGGUUACGUGUUGUGCGCUUGGAGACUACAACAGAUAGUCAGCGUAUUGUUGGCCUUCUUAUUCCAAAUGCUGCAAUUGAAUCAGUCAUGCAAGAUCUAUCAUGGGUUGCUGAUGUUGAAGGUUGACAUGGGAAAAGUUUUGAAGUUACUGCAAAACUUGGUCUGGAUGUCAGAUAUUGAAUCUUGUGGAUUUGAGAGAGGUGCUUAAGCAAUUGGAGCUUGAUUCGAGAUAGAAGACAGAUCUAUUAUAAAUUUUUGUGCAAAAUACGAGCCACUAUUUUUUGUUGGUAUGUUGUAAAUUGUGAGUGCAUUAAGACCCAGUAUCGAUUGACACCUCAUGCAUUGGGCUUUCCUUUUUUGUAUUGUUGUAAAAUGUGUAAGUACAUAUAGGAAAUUGCUGAUCUGCCAUGUACAAAAAGCAAACAUUUAUGCAAUUGAGCAAUGAAAAGUUCAAGCCAA